GGCCGCGUCGACGGCGGGGUAACGGCCCACCUAGUCAACGGAUGGAUAGGGGUUCUGAGAGGAAGGUCCCCCACAUUGGAACUGAGACACGGUCCAAACUCCUACGGGAGGCAGCAGUGAGGAAUAUUGGUCAAUGGGCGAGAGCCUGAACCAGCCAAGUAGCGUGAAGGAUGAAGGUUCUAUGGAUUGUAAACUUCUUUUAUACGGGAAUAAAAAAAGUCUACGUGUAGAUUCUUGUAUGUACCGUAUGAAUAAGCAUCGGCUAACUCCGUGCCAGCAGCCGCGGUAAUACGGAGGAUGCGAGCGUUAUCCGGAUUUAUUGGGUUUAAAGGGAGCGCAGACGGGAGAUUAAGUCAGCUGUGAAAGUUUGGGGCUCAACCUUAAAAUUGCAGUUGAAACUGGUUUUCUUGAGUGCGGUUUGAGGUAUGCGGAAUUCGUGGUGUAGCGGUGAAAUGCUUAGAUAUCACGAAGAACUCGAUUGCGAAGGCAGCAUACCAAGCCGUAACUGACGUUCAUGCUCGAAAGUGUGGGUGUCGACGCGGCCGAGUCGUGGGG
Molecule: ribosomal RNA, 555 nt
Filed under: uncultured bacterium
Lineage: Bacteria
Description: bacterial SSU rRNA
Rfam family: Bacterial small subunit ribosomal RNA
Source: RNAcentral